GGUGGCAUGGCUCAGGAGGUAGAGCAGGCGGUUUAGGAAUCAUAAGGUUCCUGGUUCGAUCCCCGGCUUCUCCA
Molecule: non-coding RNA, 74 nt
Organism: Gymnothorax javanicus (giant moray)
Lineage: Eukaryota; Metazoa; Chordata; Actinopteri; Anguilliformes; Muraenidae
Source: the annotation of a GenBank genome assembly